This is a long non-coding RNA of Aedes albopictus (Asian tiger mosquito), 1407 nucleotides long. RefSeq lists it as uncharacterized. The record is from RefSeq and is a predicted model, not a curated record. The transcript is spliced from 2 exons. NCBI's taxonomy places the organism in Eukaryota, Metazoa, Arthropoda, Insecta, Diptera, Culicidae.
UUGAGUUAUUCUUGAGCAAAUUUUGAUAUGUGUGCAUUCCUUAAAGUACAAAGUUGAAACAUAAAUACGAAAACUCGUGGGGCACCAAGGCUGCGAAGAGCGCUGCCUUGAAAACAAAUACAGUGCUCGAAAAUUGCUUGCCGAUCCAACCAUCCCGCUACUUCCGCUCGCUUUGACACACAAACACACCCAACAGCGAGUCCGAAAGUAUACGGGCACUGCAUCGACGAGUGAGGGAGAAGUGAUCGAGUUGCCGUCCGGAGUACAUCGUGUGGUGUUCAUCUUGACACGAAAGAUUGCCGCCGGGAAAUACUUGGCUCAAAAAUCCGCAACGAAGGAAGCAAGAAGGAAAUUGAAGGUGAGUCGAAUCAGCAGCGAGAUGAAAAUACGACAUGCAGUUAUUCCUUUGCUCCAGGUGACAGACGGCUGAUUCCACACGAAAACUCCAGCGAUCACAAUCGUCCAUCGACGAGCCAUUGCGUGGACCACCUGCGGGAAGAUUUGCAACAGCGUCAAACCAGGUGUUAUUCGAUCCGCGUCACCGUUGAAUCUGUUUUGGGUUGAAGGCACGAUUUUCGUUCGAGCUGGUGGAGGUUGGAGCGAGCAAACGCCCCGUGUGGAGGUCACGCAUUUCUCACGCGGCGAAUCGGGCAGCGACAGGUCGAUUCUUCCAGAUUCGCAGAUGAAGCACGCCGAGAACCCGUUCUAGAUCGAACAGUAGUGGGUGAGUCAUAAUUCUCGCAGUACGUGAUGUGAGCUAACCAAGCAUUUUCCUCACAGAUCACCAAACAAACAUCUCCAGACUGACGACAUCGCUCGCCGGAUUGGCCUACGGUGUAUCUCAGAAGCCGAGUAAAAAGCCUUCCAGAAGAGGAGUAAGUACACCACCUAGGCGUUUGAAGAGUACCUCGAUCCUAAUUCGAAAACGUGCUAGGGCUUUUUUAUUCACAGCCUACAAUUCAGAACAGCUGCCAGUGCCCCGUAUUGGAUCUCAAGCGAUUCGGCAUCCAACGCCGGAAGGGUUUUCACCGGGCGAGGGGUCUGCUGGAUCCGGAAUCAGAAGAGAGGAGCCUGGAAACCAUCCCUCGAAAUCCCUGGUCACGACAGCAGCCGUCUGUGGGAAGAAGGAGCCAAGAGGACGCGACUCCGUCCGUCCGAUUCCGUCAGUCGGCCAGUGAGCCUACGGCUGAUCUAGCCCGUCUCAGCAGCGGACAAAACGACAAAAGGAGCGGAAGACAUCAUGGGUGCACCCAGGAAAGCGCGUGAGUACCGCUAAAGAAGAAGAAACAGAAUGAAGAAGAAAGUGACGUUGAAGAAGAUGGAAGAGAUUAGAAGUUAGGAUGAGCUAGGGCAGGAAGGUAGCAAUCAAGCAUGAGGUAAUAAAGGGUUGCACACUUAGUUCAUGUA